GUGGCCCUGAAUCAAGGCCAACAAUUUGUCAUGGCUGCUAGUUUCAAACAGGAUCCUAAAGAGGAGUCUUUCUAAGAUGUCUUGACCAUUUCAGAAUUUUAGAAAUGUAAUGGUCAAUUCAUUAGAAAAAUAUAGCU
This is a small nucleolar RNA of Cavia aperea (Brazilian guinea pig), 137 nucleotides long. The record is from Ensembl. NCBI's taxonomy places the organism in Eukaryota, Metazoa, Chordata, Mammalia, Rodentia, Caviidae.